UCGAACGGCAGCGCGAGAGAGCUUGCUCUCUUGGCGGCGAGUGGCGGACGGGUGAGUAAUAUAUCGGAACGUGCCCAGUAGCGGGGGAUAACUACUCGAAAGAGUGGCUAAUACCGCAUACGCCCUACGGGGGAAAGGGGGGGAUCGCAAGACCUCUCACUAUUGGAGCGGCCGAUAUCGGAUUAGCUAGUUGGUGGGGUAAAGGCU
RNAcentral lists this ribosomal RNA (207 nucleotides) under uncultured bacterium. RNAcentral describes it as "partial 16S ribosomal RNA". It matches the Rfam family "Bacterial small subunit ribosomal RNA", at positions 62 to 265 of the family's 1533-position model. The record is from RNAcentral.